Neofelis nebulosa (Clouded leopard) is the source of this 4523-nucleotide long non-coding RNA. RefSeq lists it as uncharacterized. The record is from RefSeq and is a predicted model, not a curated record. The transcript has 2 exons. NCBI's taxonomy places the organism in Eukaryota, Metazoa, Chordata, Mammalia, Carnivora, Felidae.
UCAUGAUACGGUUUUGUGCAGAGCGAUGCCAGUCUAGGAAAGGCGCAGUCCAUUUGGAAAUGACACUUGGCAAGCUUUCGGAGGUCUACCCUUUUUCAGAGAAGGCUGAACGAAGCCACUUCGUUUCUGAGUUUGCUCAGGAACCUUUAACUCCCUUUACCUUUAAAUUUCCAUUGAUGUCAACCUUCUUCUGUUCUCUCAGAAAGACCUGUCUGGCUCAUUUGAAAAUUUCAUUACUUGCAGAUAGGUCUUUUUACAAUACUUUCUAUUUUGUUUCCUGACUCUCUCAGUGUUUUUUGUUUACCGUCAGCCUUAGUUUUCCUGAGUAUUAAGCUUUGUAGAUUGCCUGCAGUUUCGACCUCAUACUCUUAUGAUUGCCAGACUUCUCUAACACACUGCCUUCUGUGUAGUCCCAAGUUCCCUUUUUUCAACCUUUUUGUCUUGUUCCACUCAUAUUUAGAUACAAGUAUGUGCCAUAUGUUUUUUUCUUUUUGGAUAAAAUACACAAAUGAACCAUUUUGGUGAGUGUGAUUUAUUGGUACCGAGUACAUUCACAGUGUUGUGCAACCAUCAGCUCUUUUUAGUUCCGAAAUACUUUUGCUUAAAAAGGAAACCCUGUAACCAAUCAGCAGUCAGCCUCCGUUCAGCCCUACUCCCAGCCCCUGCAACCACUAAUCUACUUUCUAUUUACAGGUGUACCUAUUCCGUACAUAUCUAGUAAAAUCAUACAGAAUUCAAUUUCAUGACAAUGUGCGGGGGUAUAUGGUCCUUUUAUGUUUAACUUGUUAAGAAUUACCAAACUAUUUUAUAUAGAGGCUGUACCGUACUAUAUUCCCUCGGACAGUGUAGAAGUUACCCCACAUUCUUGCUAUUAUCACUUAUUUCCUUUUUUUCUUUUCUGUUUUUUAAAUCUUUUUAAAAAUUUUACUUAUUUUGGGGCACCUGGGUGGCUCAGCCGGUUAAGCAUGCGACUUCAGCUCAGGUCAUGAUCUCACAGCUCGUGAGUUCUAGCCCCACAUCGGGCUCUGUGCUGACAGCUAGGAGACUGGAGCCUGCUUUGGAUUCUGUGUCUCCCUCACUCUCUGCCCCUACCCCACUCAUACUCUAUGUCUCUGUCUCUCUCUCUCUCUCUCUCUCUCAAAAAUAAACAUUAAAAAAAAUUUACUUAUUUUGAGAGAGAGAGAGAGUGUGCACGUGCAUGAGCUGGGGAGGGGCAGAAAGUGAGGGGGAGAGAGAAUCCCAGGCAGGCUCUGCGCUGUCAGCACAGAGCCCCACCUGGGGCUCAAACUCAUGAGCCGUAAGAUCAUGACCUGAGCUGAAAUCAAGAGUCAGAUGCUUAGCCGACUGAGCCACCCAGGUGCCCCAUCUUCUUUUUUUGUUUUAAUAGUAACCAUCCUAGAGUAUGCAGUGGUGUCUUACCAUGGUUUUGAUGUGCAUUUCCCUAAAACAAAUGAUGUUGAACAUCUUAUCCUGUGCUUGUUGACCAUUUCUGUGUCUUUGGAGAAAUGCUGAUUCAAGUUCUUUGCCCCUUUUUUACCCUGUGUUGUUUUUUGUUGUUGACGUGCAGGAGUUCUUUCUGGCCUCUCAUAGUGGGCCCAAAGCACAUGUAUGAUUUGCAUGUUUUUUCUCCCAUUUGGGGGAUAUCGUUGUGCUCUUUUUGGUAGUGUUUUUUGAUGCACAAACAUUUUAAUUUGGGUGGGGUCCCAUUUAUCUUUGUUUUCUUUGGUGCUUUUUCAUAUCUUACAAAGAUUAGACACUGUCAGAUCCAAGGUUCUAAAGAUUUACCCACUUGCUUUCUUCUAAGAUUUUUUAAUAGUUUUAGCCUUUACAUUAGGUUUUUGGUCCAUUUUUACUUUAUUUUUUUUUAAUUAAAAAAUUUUUUUUACAUUUAUUUUUGAGAGACAGAGACAGAGCACUAGUGGGGGAGGGGCAGGGGGUGGUGAGACACAAUCCAAAGCAGAUGCCAGGCUCUGAGCUGUCAGCACAGAGCCCAAUGUGGGGCUGGAGUUCACAGACCGAGAGAUCAUGACCUGAGCUGAAGUCAGACGCUAAACCGACUGAGCAACCCUGGCGCCCCAGAUUUUUGAUCCAUUUUGAGUGAAUUUGUGUAUAUGGUCUGAAUCAGGGGUCUGCUUUGAUUCUUCUGCAUAGAGCUAUCCAGGUAUCCUAGCAUUAGGUGUUGAAGAGACUAUUCUUUCCCCCAUUAAAUUGUCCUGGCACACUGUUAAGAGUAUGUUUUGUUUUGUUUUUUUUCUUUUCUUUUUCUGGAUUCAUGUUUAUGUCUAUCCUUUUGCCUGUACCACCCAUUUUUUUUUUUUUUAGUUAUUUAUUUUAGAGAGAUAGUUUGCAAGCAAGAGCGCACACAAAAGGGGGAGGGGCAGAGAGAGAGAAAGGGAGACAGAAUCCAAAGCAGGCUCCAGGCUCUGAGCUGUCAGCACAGAGCCUGACGCGGGGCUAGAACUCAGGAACCAUGAGAUCAUGACCUGGGUUGAAGCUGGAUGUUUAACCAGCUGGGCCACCCAGGUGCCCCUGUACCACCCAUUUUUGAUACUGUACUUUUUAGUUCUUUUGGUUCUUUAAAAAAAAAAAGAAUUUGUGUUAACAUUUAUUCAUUUUUGAGAGAGAGAGAGAAGGAGAGAGAGAAAGAGAGACAAAGUAUGAGUGGGGGAGGGGCAGAGAGAGAGGAAGACAGAAUCCAAAGCAGGCUCCAGGCUCCAAGCUGUCAGCACAGAGCCCAUCGUGGGGCUCGAACCCAUGAACUUUGAGAUCAUGACCCGAGCUGAGGUCCGACACUUCAUCAACUGAGUCACCCAGGUGCCCGUCUUUUGAUUCUUUUUUGUUUCUGUCUCUUAUUGAUAAUUUCUUUAGUGAAACAUAAUUCUUCUAGUUUCCUAUAGUUCUUUGUCCAUGGUUUCUGUUAGCUGGGUGUGUCGAAACAAAUGGAUUUAAGGUUGUUACUAAGUCCAGUGCCUUGGCUUUUAGGAACAAUUUUUUUUUUUUUUUAAUUUUAGAGUAAAUGAGCAAGAGAGAGGCAGAGGGGGAAAGAGAAAGAUAGAGAGAAAGAGAAAGAAAGAGAGAAUCCCAAGCAGGCUCCACAUGCAGCACAGAGCCCAACACGGGGCUCAAUCCCACAACCCUGGGAUAGUGACAUGAGCCGAAAUCAAGAGUCAGAUGCUCAGCUGACUGAGCCACCCAGGAGCCCUAGAAACAUAAAUUCUAGAUAUCAUAAUGCAGCUGUUUGAAAAUCUGAUUCACCUCUUUCCCAGGGUUUGCUGUUGCUGCUUUCUGUGUAUUGUUGAUGUUUGCUUAGUGGCUUUUAUAAAUUAUUUUUGUAUGUUCUGCAUUUCUUUUUAGUGCUGUCCCUGAAAUCUGUGUUCUGUUAAUUUAGUGGUCACUAAACUAGAGUGACAGAAAUUCCUUAAAUGCCCGGAGCCAAGAGAAGAAAACUAAAAAUGUUCUUUUGGUUUUUGUUGAUGGGCUGUGUGUUGGGCCACUCCUUUGGUGUUUAGCUAGGCCAUCUACAACUCUUCCUUAGUCUUCCAUCCCUGCUGGGGUGGAUCCUGAAGAUCAGCCAGAGGUUGAUCUUUGGAUCCUCUUUGGAUCCUCUCACAUUUUCCCAGCAUGCAUCCAGCCCCAGGUGUGCUUAUGGACUUCUUGAUUCUCUGGUAAACACUCGAGCUUUUAAAGGCCUAUUCAGGGGCAGUGGGUGGCUCAGUUGGUUAAGCAUCUGACUUAACUCAGGUCAUGAUCUCACAGUUUGUGAGUUCAAGACCCGAAUCAGGCUCUGUGCUGACAGCUUGGAGCCUGAAGCCUGCUUCAGAUUCUGUGUUCCUCUCUCUCUCUCUGCCCCUCCCCUGCUGUGCUCUCUCUCCUUCAAAAUAAACAUUAAAAAAAUAAUAAAAUAAAACCCCUAUUCACGCACAUAUCAACAUUUCCAGUCUGUGCCUCCUAAGGCCUUUCAGGCUAUGUUUUGUUUUUCCCAAAUGCUCUCCCUUUCCUCGGGCUGCUCUAGGCAAUAUUUUGGCUCUAGACAUCUUCAUCAGAAGUUGUCUGAGCAGCGCCUGAGUGGCACAGUCGGUUGAGCAUCCGACCUCGGCUCAGGUCAUGAUCUCAUGGUUUGUGGGUUCGAGCCCCACAUUGGGCUCUGUGCUGACAGCUCAGAGCCUGGAGCCUGCUUCUAAUUCUGUGUCCCCCUCUCUCUCCUCCCCAUCCCUGCUUGUGCUCUCUCUUUUUCAAAAAUGAAUAAAAAUUUAAAAAAAUUUAAAAAAAAGUUGUCUGAGAUGCUGCCUUGUUCCUGGAACUCUCUGAGUUGGGUGAUACAACGCCACACCCUUGCGGCAGUGAUACUCAAGGAAGCUGCCAGAAAGAUCGAAGCACCCAGUGGUGCUUCUUUGAGAACAAGGUCCAUAGCGCUCCUUUGAUCCCUCGCAACUUGCUCAAGGAUGCAUCCUGUUGUCUACAUGGCUGGAGCUGAUCCGAAGAGUGGGGAUGGUAGGUGGGUAAUUAAAAUGCCUCAGCACUCA